UCCCGUGUGGCUCAGUUGGUAGAGCAUGGUGUUUGCAACACUAGGGUUGUAGGUUCAAUUUCCAACGGGAG
This 71-nucleotide transfer RNA is filed under the name Salmo salar (Atlantic salmon). It matches the Rfam family "tRNA". From Rfam's summary of the family: Transfer RNA (tRNA) molecules are approximately 80 nucleotides in length. Their secondary structure includes four short double-helical elements and three loops (D, anti-codon, and T loops). Lineage: Eukaryota; Metazoa; Chordata; Actinopteri; Salmoniformes; Salmonidae. RNAcentral also lists the same sequence under 1 other name. The record is from Rfam by way of RNAcentral.